Molecule: ribosomal RNA, 472 nt
Filed under: uncultured bacterium
Lineage: Bacteria
Description: SSU rRNA
Rfam family: Bacterial small subunit ribosomal RNA
Source: RNAcentral
AGGACGAACGCUGGCGGCGUGCUUAACACAUGCAAGUCGAGCGGAAAGGCCCUUCGGGGUACUCGAGCGGCGAACGGGUGAGUAACACGUGAGUAACCUGCCCCUAGCUCUGGGAUAGCUCCGGGAAACCGGGAUUAAUACCAGAUACGACCACUUUAGACAUCUGUCGUGGUGGAAAGGAUUCCGGCUAGGGAUGGGCUCGCGGCCUAUCAGCUUGUUGGUGGGGUAACGGCCUACCAAGGCGACGACGGGUAGCCGGCCUGAGAGGGCGACCGGCCACACUGGGACUGAGACACGGCCCAGACUCCUACGGGAGGCAGCAGUGGGAUAUUGCGCAAUGGGCGAAAGCCUGACGCAGCGACGCCGCGUGGGGGAUGAAGGCCUUCGGGUUGUAAACCCCUUUCAGCAGGGACGAAGCGAAAGUGACGGUACCUGCAGAAGAAGCGCCGGCUAACUACGUGCCAGCAGCCGC